Molecule: microRNA precursor, 204 nt
Organism: Oryza sativa Indica Group (long-grained rice)
Lineage: Eukaryota; Viridiplantae; Streptophyta; Magnoliopsida; Poales; Poaceae
Rfam family: MIR812 microRNA precursor family
Source: Rfam
AAUAUGUGCAGUUUUGCACUAUUCAUGUUAAACGUUUGACCAUUUAUCUUAUUUAAAUUUUUUUUAUUAAUAUUUUUAUUAUUAUUAGAUGAUAAAACAUGAAUAGUACUUUAGAUAUGACUAUUUUUUAAAAAAAAUUUAUACACUUUUUAAAUAAGACGGACGGUCAAACGUUGGAUACGGAUACCCACGGCUACACUUAUU